This 427-nucleotide ribosomal RNA is filed under the name uncultured bacterium. RNAcentral describes it as "bacterial SSU rRNA". It matches the Rfam family "Bacterial small subunit ribosomal RNA", at positions 355 to 774 of the family's 1533-position model. The record is from RNAcentral.
UGGGGAAUUUUGGACAAUGGGCGCAAGCCUGAUCCAGCAAUGCCGCGUGCAGGAUGAAGGCCUUCGGGUCGUAAACUGCUUUUGUACGGAACGAAACGGCUCUGGUUAAUACCUGGGGCUAAUGACGGUACCGUAAGAAUAAGCACCGGCUAACUACGUGCCAGCAGCCGCGGUAAUACGUAGGGUGCGAGCGUUAAUCGGAAUUACUGGGCGUAAAGCGUGCGCAGGCGGUGAUGUAAGACAGAUGUGAAAUCCCCGGGCUCAACCUGGGACCUGCAUUUGUGACUGCAUCGCUGGAGUGCGGCAGAGGGGAAUGGAAUUCCGCGUGUAGAAGUGAAAUGCGUAGAUAUGCGGAGGAACAGCGAUGGCGAAGGCAAUCCCCUGGGCCUGUACUGACGCUCAUGCACGAAAGCGUGGAGAGCAAACA